UUAUCUUUCAACGUGCUAUGCUUGCUCUGCUGCCGGUUAUAAAGUUCUGGCUGGUAUUGGCUUACGCGAGCUUCGUCCUCUCGUUAUGUGCCGUAGUUCUUCCUGGUUUGGGUUUCAUCAUUUCAUCCUAAUAUAGUGCUGUCUGGAGGAUCAAUGAUGUUUAGGGAUUUCCACAGAAGAUUAUAGCGUGACAUAAAGAAGAUUGUCGAUGCUCGGAUCCUUGUAUCUGAUGGUCGAGUGUUAUAGUCUUCUUAACAAUAAAAAGAGUAUAUAAAAAAGGAUGGUAAAAUCACAUCCGACAAGAUUACCACAAGAGAAUGCAUCAACGGGCUACACCUUAAAAAAUGCUUCAAGAUGCAAGGAACAUAACUCAAGCAAUGAAGCUAGGAGCACUUGGUGCUCCAGCUUAUCAAGCCUUUUCACUGAAAGACAUUGAGGAUGCAACUAAUAAUUUUGAUACAUCAACUUUUGUCCUUGAAGGAUCUUACAGUCAGAUGUAUAUAGGGAAGCUGAAGGAUGGUUCCCUGAUUGCUAUUAGGUGCCUUAAAAUAAAUAAAAACACAAGAAUCAUAGCUUUAUGAACCAUAUAGAAAUUAAAUCAAAAUUAAGACAUCAACAUUUGGUCAGUGGUCUUGGGCACUGCUUUGAUUAUUGCUUGGAUGACUCCAUUCUCAGCAGAAAAUUUCCUGUAUUUGAAUAUGAGCAAAAUGGGGCGCUAAGGGGCUGGAUAUCUGGAGGUGAUGAAGAAUGCACUGGCAGAACAUGAAGCAACUGUAGGAGUAAUUUAGUACAGAGAAAUCCAAGCAUUCAAUGUUUGCUUGGUUUUUAGUUUUCCCUUGGCGAACAUAAAAGUGUAACUUUCAAGGUCUGGGGCAAGGUGAUAAGAUGGUCAGUAAGUUGUCUAAUUUGGUUCGCCCAAUGAAGAGAAACAAGUAGAUGUUCAUUAGGUUAUGAUAUGAGACCAUUAUAUCUUGUUUUGUAUUACUUAUUAAGUCUUUUUGAUCUUCUUAAGAUGAUGGAUAAGUUAGUGUGCAUUUAUAUAUGUACCUAGAGCUCUUUGUAAUUCUGCGGAAGCAAAGUAGGCAAAUGUUACUGUGGAAAAAAUAUGGUUAGACUAGUAUCUAAAUUUUAACCAGAAGCGUUGCUAGAACAUGCCCGUGCCUCGCACGGGCUAUAAAGCUAGUUAUUAAUAUAUUUUACGCACUAAUUUUCUAACAAGAUACAGCAGCAGGUUCUUCUUCAUCAGGAUUGGAGGGGUCUAAAGGUGAAAGAGGAUAUGGUGGUCGAUAGUUGAUACCAGAUUACCAGUUAUGCUCAAUUCUCUAACAACAAAGUUUAGACAAUAAGCACAGAAAAUAUGAGCAAAGUUUAGUACCCGGUAUCACGUGGGUCAUUUUAUGGCCCUAUGUCCAUGUAUGAAAUUGUGAGAAUCCGGAAACAACGAUAACAUGUAAUCAAUGAAAUCGCGAUCCUCUUUUAUGAUUGGGGCACAAACUCAUGAAAUAGUCCAAACUCCUUCCUUGCACAUCCAGCCAUUCAGUACAGCAAUCAUUGGGCAAUACUACUAUAGCAAUCAUUUGUAUGAUUACAUUGAUGAUCGGUUGUUGCAGUUAAUCAGGCAUGUCAAACUUGGAUUAAUCUAUUGUCCCAUUCUGGCAGCAUACUCCUUAAUGCAUGUAGUCAGCUCCGAGGCUCUCAUUGCCUCGGAGCUUCAAGUAACCACUAUCAAGUUUCCAGUAUUACUUGACCACAUACAUCUACUACUAGUCAGGGUUGGAACUGUCAUGUUUUUGUGAGUUUCAAAGGCAAGGAUACUCGCAACCCCUUUACAGGCCAUCUCAUUGCAGACAGACGAGGAUGAAUUACCUAGAGGUGAAGAAAUAUCACCACGGCUAUGGAAAGCAAUGCACGGAUCAAGUAUUUGUAUCUGUAUACUUGUUUUCUCAAACAACUACGCUUCAUCAAGCUUGUGGAAAUUCUUGAUUGCCAGAAACAUUGUGUGUCCUAUAUCCUAUCAUGUGAAUCCUUUGCAUUUACGUUAUCAGAGGGGAAGUUUCGCAGAUAUUUUUGCAAGGUGAUAUUCAUAUCGACAAUGGAGAAGCAAAAGAUAAAAACUUGGCAAUUUGCACUAUCUGAAGCAGCUGAUCUAUCAGGAUU
This is an RNA transcript of Daucus carota subsp. sativus, 2157 nucleotides long. It is a transcript of the gene named probable inactive leucine-rich repeat receptor-like protein kinase At3g03770, with no coding region annotated. NCBI's taxonomy places the organism in Eukaryota, Viridiplantae, Streptophyta, Magnoliopsida, Apiales, Apiaceae. The record is from RefSeq and is a predicted model, not a curated record. The transcript is spliced from 5 exons.